UACGGAGGAUGCAAGCGUUAUCCGGAAUGAUUGGGCGUAAAGGGUCCGCAGGUGGCAGUGUAAGUCUGCUGUCAAAGAAUGAGGCUUAACCUCAUCAAGGCAGUGGAAACUACACAGCUAGAGUACGGUCGGGGUAGAAGGAAUUCCUGGUGUAGCGGUGAAAUGCGUAGAGAUCAGGAGGAACACCGGUGGCGAAAGCGUUCUGCUAGACCUGUACUGACACUGAGGGACGAAAGCUAGGGGAGCGAAUGGG
Molecule: ribosomal RNA, 253 nt
Filed under: uncultured bacterium
Lineage: Bacteria
Description: partial 16S ribosomal RNA
Rfam family: Bacterial small subunit ribosomal RNA
Source: RNAcentral